CUACGGGCCGCUCCAGUGAGGAAUAUUGCACAAUGGGGGGAACCCUGAUGCAGCAACGCCGCGUGGAGGAUGACGCAUUUCGGUGUGUAAACUCCUUUUAUAUGUCAAGAAAAUGACGGUAGCAUAUGAAUAAGCACCGGCUAACUCCGUGCCAGCAGCCGCGGUAAUACGGAGGGUGCAAGCGUUACUCGGAAUCACUGGGCGUAAAGGACGCGUAGGCGGGUUGGAAAGUCAGGUGUGAAAUCCUACAGCUUAACCGUAGAACUGCACUUGAAACUUCUAAUCUAGAGUAUGGGAGGGGGAGAUGGAAUUAGUGGUGUAGGGGUAAAAUCCGCAGAUAUCACUAGGAAUACCUAAAGCGAAGGCGAUCUCCUGGAACAUUACUGACGCUAAGGCGUGAAAGCGUGGGGAGCAAACAGGAUUAGAUACCCCAGUAGUC
This 439-nucleotide ribosomal RNA is filed under the name uncultured bacterium. RNAcentral describes it as "partial 16S ribosomal RNA". It matches the Rfam family "Bacterial small subunit ribosomal RNA", at positions 339 to 795 of the family's 1533-position model. The record is from RNAcentral.